RNAcentral lists this ribosomal RNA (994 nucleotides) under uncultured bacterium. RNAcentral describes it as "bacterial SSU rRNA". It matches the Rfam family "Bacterial small subunit ribosomal RNA", at positions 8 to 1032 of the family's 1533-position model. The record is from RNAcentral.
AGAGUUUGAUCCUGGCUCAGAAUCAACGCUGGCGGCGCGCUUAACACAUGCAAGUCGCACGAGAAAGUGGGAAACCAUGAGUACAGUGGCGUACGGGUGAGUAACACGUGGGUAAUCUACCUCUGAGUGGGGAAUAACCCUGGGAAACCGGGGCUAAUACCGCAUAAUCUCGAGAGAGGAAAGCAGCAAUGCGCUGAGAGAGGAGCCCGCGGCCGAUUAGCUAGUUGGUAGGGUAAGAGCCUACCAAGGCAGAGAUCGGUAGCCGGCCUGAGAGGGCACACGGCCACACUGGCACUGAAACACGGGCCAGACUCCUACGGGAGGCAGCAGUGGGGAAUCUUGCACAAUGGGGGAAACCCUGAUGCAGCGACGCCGCGUGAGCGAUGAAGCCCUUCGGGGUGUAAAGCUCUUUCGUCAGGGAAGAUCAUGACGGUACCUGGAGAAGCAGCUGCGGCUAACUACGUGCCAGCAGCCGCGGUAAUACGUAGGCAGCGAGCGUUGUUCGGAGUUACUGGGCGUAAAGGGUGUGUAGGCGGUUCUUUAAGUUUGGUGUGAAAUCUCCCGGCUCAACCGGGAGGGUGCGCCGAAUACUGAGGGACUUGGAGUGCGGGAGAGGAAAGUGGAAUUCCUGGUGUAGCGGUGAAAUGCGUAGAUAUCAGGAGGAACACCGGUGGUGUAGACGGCUUUCUGGACCGUAACUGACGCUGAGACACGAAAGCGUGGGUAGCAAACAGGAUUAGAUACCCUGGUAGUCCACGCCCUAAACGAUGCAUAUUUGGUGUGGGUCAUUCAGUUGAUCCGUGCCGGAGCUAACGCGUUAAAUAUGCCGCCUGGGGAGUACAGUCGCAAGGCUGAAACUCAAAGGAAUUGACGGGGGCCCGCACAAGCGGUGGAGCAUGUGGUUCAAUUCGACGCAACGCGAAGAACCUUACCUGGGCUCGAACGGCUGGUCAACGGAAGGUGGAAACAUCUUUACCCCGCAAGGGGGUCCAGU